This 74-nucleotide transfer RNA is filed under the name Streptomyces afghaniensis. RNAcentral describes it as "tRNA-Leu". It matches the Rfam family "tRNA". From Rfam's summary of the family: Transfer RNA (tRNA) molecules are approximately 80 nucleotides in length. Their secondary structure includes four short double-helical elements and three loops (D, anti-codon, and T loops). The record is from RNAcentral. Lineage: Bacteria; Bacillati; Actinomycetota; Actinomycetes; Kitasatosporales; Streptomycetaceae.
GCCCGGGUGGCGCAACUGGCAGACGCGACCGCCUUAAACGCGGACAAGUGUGGGUUCGACUCCCACCCCGGGCA